Molecule: long non-coding RNA, 7529 nt
Filed under: Lotus japonicus
Lineage: Eukaryota; Viridiplantae; Streptophyta; Magnoliopsida; Fabales; Fabaceae
Description: long non-coding RNA (LJAP_LNC001387)
Source: RNAcentral
UGAAAUGAUAUUAAUACAUCAUUCACAUGAGGUCAUAGGCUCAAUUUGUUUGAAAAUGCUUGAAAUCAGGGAUAUAUACCUAAGCCAUGCGAGGGAGUGUGACUAAACACUAGUGAGAUGAGAGGAAGAGAGAAUCAUCAUUGUUUUACAAAGCUGAACUUGCUUGAGUCUCUAAUUGUUUGGAAUUGCAUGGGAAUGAAAGAAAAUGACCAAGGCAUUUUGUUCUUUAGUGUAAAUAACUACUAUGCCAUAUAACCUACCCUUAUUUAGGAAAUCACUUGGUUACCCCAUUUGAGCCAAAAAUUUAAAAAAAUAUUCUUGCUUCUUGCAUAUGAUCCCAAGCUUAAAAGAAAAACAAUGUCUCUUCCUUACUUUCUAAGUUGAGAGAGCAUGCAUGAUUAGAUUGUAUAUAAGUGUGCAAGUUGAGGGGAGUGGAGGCUAUUAACAUCUUGGUUUGAAAUUAUCAAUUUCUCAAUCUUGUGUGUAUAAGAAAAAAAAAAGGAAAAGAAAAAGAAAAAGAAAAAAAAAGUGUAUAUAAAGAAUUGAAAAAGCAAAAAGAAAGAUUGAGAGGUUGAAAGGGAAUGAGAGGGGUGAAGUGUGAUACAAAUGAAAAGAAAAUGGUAUCAAAAGAGAGAGUUGGUUGAGGAGAGAGUGGAAGGUUAUUAGUUGUGAUACAUGACAUUUUGUGCUCUCUUAGCUAGAAAGUGUUUGAUUAUCCAGAAAAACCAAUAUUCUUUUGAAACCAAGCCCCAUUACAACCCUAGAAAGACCUUUGUGAUUCUGGACUAACCAUGCAGUUUAAUGAUUACUGAGACAGGUAGCAAGUUUGAUUUAUGUGAUUCAUUGAUUGAUUUGAGUGAAACACUUGCCCUUGAUCUCUUGAAGUUGUUCAGCUGAUGAAAAGUUGAGUAAAUCCUUGAUUGAAAAGUAGGAAAUUCAAAUUGUUCUUAGAAUCUCAUGUUGAAUAUGCUAUUGUAUCAUGAUCUUGGUAAAUUGUUGUGGGCAUCACAUGAUAUUUUCUUAGAGAAGUUAAUUUUCAUAAAUAGGGAAAUCAUGCAGUGUGUAGUGUUUUGGAACCAUGCUUGUUGAAUGAACCUUGUCUAUAGUUUUUUGAUAAUCGGUACCAUUUGUUUGAGGACAAACAAAGUUUCAAGUUGGGGGGAGUUGAUAAGUGUCAAAUCUACUUAAUUUUCAUAUCAUUCUUGGGCACUUAUUAGGGUUAGAAAUGUGAAAUAACUAUCAAAUUUACCCUCAAUUGUGAUGAUAUGGUUUACUAGAGGUCCUUGUAGAAUUUAAGUGUUAAUUAUCAAAUUUUGAUGUAGGAAUGAAUUGGGAAUGAAGAUUUGCUUCAAAGAGGCUUGAAUCAUAAGAAAGCAUCAAAGAAUAGUGCUUGGCUCAGAAGUUUGCUCAAGCCAUCUUGCAACAGAAGGUAUUGAAUGCUUGGCUCAGAAGUUUGCUCAAGCCAUCUAGCAACAGAAGGUUUUAAGUGUUUGGCUCUGAAGUUGGCUCAAGCGAAUAUUUGGUCGCUUGAGCGGUUGAAAGGCGGUUCCCAGUUCUUCCUUCACGUUAAAGAAAGAGUUCGCUUGAGCGAACUUUGGACCGCUUGAGCGAACAAAGCUGUUAUAAAAAGAACCCACCAUCGUAUUUUACCAGGACAGCGGAAAAAUUAGGGAAAAAGACUACAGAACUCGUAGAACAAAGGUGAAGAAGAUAGUUUGGACCUCUUUGAUCAUCCAUCGACGUGGGAACGCUCGGCGGACAUCACGGAUCGUCAUCAUCUUCUUGUUUCUCUUUGUAAGCCUUAAAGCAUCCAUGGAAAUGGAUUGCUAAACCCUUUGUGUUGGGAUUGGAUGUAGUCUUUUAACUUGAAUGUAUUGACUUUGAUUUCCAUGUAUAAAUUCAUGUUUCUAUGUGAUGAUUUCAAUGAUCUAUCUUGAUCUUAAUGCUAGUUUUAGAGUGAUCAACUAGAACUUGAUGUUAGAUUUGAUAAAUUGGUGGAAACUACUUCAUUGAAUCUGAAAUAGAUGAGAUCAUCUAUUGAAUCUAAGGCCUAGGAAUAGGGUUAGCUCAAUAGUCAUAUAACACCUAAGUUUAAUGCUACUUGCUUGCUUAAUUAUUCAAGGAAUUGAUGAUUAGUUAGUAAGUUGUUGAUCUCUUUCAUGAGGGAACUAUGAAAAAGAUAAGAUGUGGUGUGAUGGAAUCGAACAUAGGACAUGGUUUGUUUAUGGAAUCAUAAGAAUACUGAAGAGUUAAUUGAUGAACUCCAAUUCCAACCGUUUUCUCCGCUUGUUUACAAAUCAUUUACUAUUGCUUUCUUUUAAUUUUGCAACGCAGCACAAAACAAUCAACUAAACAUUUCUUGACUCUUUGCUUAAGUGAUUUAACUAGAGAACGGCAUUGUAUUCCAAUUCCCUGAGGACGAUAAAAACCCUUUACUAUACUACAAUUAAAUCUUGAAAGAGAUUUGAAAGUAGUUGUCGUAAAAACCUUUCAACAAAAUGGCGCCGUUGCCGGGGAAUUGCGUCAAUACAAAAGCAUUGCUUUAGUUUUGUUACUUUGAGCAAUUGUGAAUAUAGUUUUGAUUUCAGUAAAAUUUUCCUUGUUGUUACUAAUAUCUUGUGUUAGCUUGUGUUUUCUUGUUCAUUCAAUUGACUAGCUAAAGAGAAAAUAGCAACAAGAAGCUUCUGAAUCACCCACUUCCAAAGAUGCAACAACCAUCCUUAAGAGAUCAGGUAAUGUGGAAUAUUUGUUUUGAUACUCACUAUGUGGGUUAUUGUCAUUUCCAGGUAGAACAAGUUCCACCACCACCAUACCUACCAUAUUACUCCCCAGAAGAUGAUAAGAUUGCUAGGCUUGAGGAUACCUUGGUCCAAUUCAUGCAGAUUUCAAUAGUUAACCAAAAGAAUACCGAGGCUUCCAUCAAGAACCUAGAAAAUCAAGUGGGACAGCUAGCACAUCAAAUAGCUGAAUAUGGUAAGGUUGCUGUGGAAGCAAAAGAAAUUGAGAAAGAAAAUGAGGAAGAAGGUGAGGAGGAAGAAGAAGUAAAAGAAAAAAAUGAAGAAAAUGAUCCACCAAUUCACAACUCACCCCUAAAUUCUCCAAAGGUAAAACAUGAAGAGGUUGAGGUAAGCUUUGAAGUUUUUGAUGAUUUUCAGCAUCACCAAUGCAAUGGUAUGAUUUAUCUCGUUGAACAUAUAGAUUCUGUAUUUGGUGAUAGGUUUGAUAAAAAUAUUUCAUUGAAUACUUCAAAGAAUGUAUAUAGCUUAAAUUGUGAAUUAGGGUGGAUUGAAAAAAUAAAGAAAAAGAAUGAUUUUUGGAUGGCUUGGAAAGGUUUUGAUAGAACACUUGAUGAAAACCAAGUCAAAAAGCCAAAGAAGCGGAAGGGGUUAUACUAUAACCCUUGUUUGUGGUCACCAUGAUAGUGUUUGCGUCAAGCUAAUGACGUUAAACAAGCGCUUCCUGGGAGGCAACCCAGUGUUUAUUUAGAUUUUUAGCUAUUUUAGUAAGUGAUACAGUGAUUUUGUGAAGUUUCAUUUAAAUAUGUGCUUUCAUGUGCUUCACAGUUUUUGAUUAUCAUAUUGAGUGUGUUUAAAGGUCUAGGAGUCAAUAACUUGAAGUUUUUGCAAAUAUACAGUUGUAACUUAUGUUUUGCUUGAGAGCUUGGAUGAAAUUUGGACACAGUCAAAAAUUUGUCAAAAUCUGCAUUUAAGAAUUGUAACAUGUCCAAAUAGAGAUUUGACAGAUAUAUGAAUGAUUGGUUUGUAUGAUUUGAGCAUUUUGCAAAAUUUGGGGUAUGAGGUUGUGAGCAUCAGGAGAAAAACUAGUCCCUUUGAGCCAUAUUCUGCAUAAACAGCAGAGAAUUUCAUUUCAACCCAUUGAUCAAGCUCAAUUGUGCACCUAAAUGAUUAUAUUUUAGGCAUUGGGACAGUUUUAAAAUGAACUUGGUGAUUUUGAGAUGCAAUGGAUUGGUAAUUUUUCAAAGUGAACAAGUUUUCAAAUCCUAAGAAAAGUGAGAAUGAUUUUUACUCAUCUGUGUAUUUCAAAGGUUUCCACAAGUUUUAAAUGGUCUAACUAGAGGGUAGGAGUGUUUAGAAAGCAGGAAAAGUGAGAGAUACAAAAUCUAAGGUGUUGAGUUGUGGAAAAAGCUGUUAAAAGAGCAUGUAAAGUGAGUUUUGCAAAACCUGUGAUUUUUUUUGCAUGAAUGUUGGAUCCAUACAAGUUUCUUGCAAGCAUAUAAAGUGGUUUGACCAUGAGAAAGAUAUUCAACAUCAUUGAAACUGAAUUGGAGACAUGCACUUGUUGAAAAUUCACAGUUGCUUAUGAAUUAAGCUUUUUCCUUGUGAAUCUCAUGAUUUUGGCUAGUAACUAAUUGAAAUUGAGUGUGUAACAGGUCUGAAUUGAAGGGUGCAGCAUUGAGAGAUUCAUGGAAAAUAGUCAAGGUAAGUAUUAUGAAUUUUAGUUGUGAACGUUUUGAAAAAGAAAAAAAAAAAAAUUGGCAAAAUUCUGAGUUCCAGUGAAAAUCUGCUUCUGUUUUAAAACUGUAAAGUGUUUGCUUGGGCGAAGCUUUGAGCGAACUCUACCUAAGAAAUUACAUUUUCUACUGGAAAAGGAUUGCUUAAGCCAAGGUCUGGGCCAAGCAAAGUUCGCUCGAGCGAACUAAUGACGGCUUAAGCCAUCAUAACGCCUAUAAAAAGAAAAAAAAAAGAGACAUAACACAGAGGCACCGAUUACGAUUGUGCUUCAGCCUUCAAGCCUCGUUCUCCCUCUCAAUUUCUCGCCCGCUCUCCACCCUCGUGCUCACCCACGUCCCACUCUCACCAAGAACAAGUAAGUUCUCUUUUUCCUUUGUUUCUCCAUCAAUUUUGGGGUUUCAAUUUGGAAUCAAUUUUGGGAAUCAAUUCAUGCUGGUUGGGUUGUUAAGAAUUAUUCAGAAAUUUGGACCCUUCUAUCUUUGUUUCAUGCUGGUUCCGUUUUAGUUAUUGUUGCUUCUUGAACCAACACUUUGUUUGUGUAUCAACUUGUUCGUACAUGGUAAGGCUCUUUGAUAUUAUUGUGUAUGAUUUUGGGGUCUUGAAAUUUGUUUUGAAUGGGCUGAUUGAUUAUCAUGCUCCAUGAAAUCGAAUGUGUAUAUGAGAUUAAUUGUAUGAGAUAUGAGGAAGUUACGUGAAUGAAACAUGAAGAUUAGAAUGUUUGCACACCACAUGUUUGAAAAAAGGUCUCAAUGAUAUUGUAAAUUAUAAAAGCAUGUGUAGAAUGAAAAGCUAGGCUGGUUGGGGCUAAUUCUAAAAAUAAAAUCAAAGAUCAGUGGAAUUAACUGCUUGCUCAUAAAUUUGUGCAAAAUGAACAUGUGAAUUGAAAAUGCUCAUUUGUUUUGAACUUAAACUCACAUGAAUAUUGAAUGUCAAUUUAGGAUGGAACCCCGAACAAGAAAUUUGAAUGUCAACUUGAAUAACAAGAAGAGAAAGGAGCUCAACCACCACCUGAACCAUCAUCUGAAUCUGCAACUGAGUAUGAAGCUGAAUCUGAAUCGGAUGCCUCUGAAGAAGAAAAUGGAGAGGAACUUGUUAGGAGCGUAGACAACUCUAUCCUUGAUGAAAGACGAAAAAAAAAUAGAAGCCAAGUCAUUCAAGGGGGAGAAGGCAGUGGAGCUUGCAGAGGGUGAGUAUGAAGAAGAAUUCAGGGCUGAGUUAGUGAAGAGGGAGUGGCUAAAGCUUGCCUCACCGCCUCAAGAGUACAAUCCAAAUAUUGUACGUGAGUUCUAUUUAUAUGCUUAUGAUCCAAAUCAAUCAAAGCACAAGAGGGAAUCCAAGAUUGGCAAUAUAAAGGUACCAUUUGACAGAGACACUAUCAACAACUAUUUGGGGAAGCCUCUAGAAUUGGAAGGUGAUCAGUUGUGUGAAUAUCAAAAGAGGAAAAAUUCUCCUAUCAAUGGAUCUGGUGGAUUCGCAAAUGGUUCGAUCCACAAGGACUUAUGUAUACCAGGUCGGCAUUCAAUAGGCAGCCACAUUUUUCGCUCACGGAUGACCACCCGCGCUCAAAUUUGGAUGAGUUUUGUGUUGCACAACAUCAGUCCCUCCUUUCAUGUCUCCAGUCUUGCUUUGAAAGAUGCAUAUAUAGUUUGGACCAUCAUGAAGGGACUCUCAAUGGAUGUCGCUCAAAUAAUAUCUGAUGAAAUUUUAAAAGCUGCCAAGUUGGAAAAGACCACCACUGCUUUGCCUUUUCCAUCUCUCAUUACUCAGUUAUGCAAGGCACAUGGAGUUCUUAUUCCGAGAGUCCCAAAGGAAAAGUUGAAACCGCCAAUCAAUGCAAAGUACAUUGCCCGUAAUUGCACUAAUGAAGCAGAAGAGGUGGUCGUUGAAGCAGCACAGGGAAGCCAAUCUAGAAGGAGAGCACCACCACCACCACCUAAUCAGUCAGCUACUACAAGUAUCGAGGAUCCGAUGCAAGCAAUGAAAGAACUUGUGGAGCGGCUGCUCAAGCAAAAUGGAGAGAUGUUUGAUAGACAGGAGAAAAUGUGUACUAGAGUAGAAGAGCUGCAUGCUAAACAGGAUGACAUGGUUUUGGCAUUGAAUCAGUUGCGUAGUGCUAUGCAGGAUCAGUUAUAUGUCAGAUGGCCUGAGGACAGUCCACGUCCAGAGGAGGGAGAGAGGCAUGGUGCUGAUAGAGCUGGUGCUGGUUUAGCUGAUGGAGAUGGAGCUGAUGCAACUCAUGGAUGAUUGAUAGAGCUGAUGCACGCCAUACAAUGUUCAUUUUAUAAUUCUGUCAUUUUAUUUCAGUUUUAGUACUUUAUCUUAGUUUGAUGUUGGUUUUAGUAGUUGUUUUAGACUAUGCUACUUUUUGGUUUGAUGGUACUUGGUUUAGUUCUUUUGGUGUGUUGAUACUUGGGUUUUGAAUUUUGUUUUCUUUCUGUGUUUGUCCAGUGAUGAAAUUGCUAGUACUGGUUUGGUUUAUAAAUGAGCAUGCGAUCUGAAAAAUAUUUCAAGUUGAACAUGAUUUUGUGUUUUAAAUCCAUGAUCAUUGUGUUUUGCACUCACUUAAUGCCAUGAAAUGAUAUUAAUACAUCAUUCACAUGAGGUCAUAGGCUCAAUUUGUUUGAAAAUGCUUGAAAUCAGGGAUAUAUACCUAAGCCAUGCGAGGGAGUGUGACUAAACACUAGUGAGAUGAGAGGAAGAGAGAAUCAUCAUUGUUUUACAAAGCUGAACUUGCUUGAGUCUCUAAUUGUUUGGAAUUGCAUGGGAAUGAAAGAAAAUGACCAAGGCAUUUUGUUCUUUAGUGUAAAUAACUACUAUGCCAUAUAACCUACCCUUAUUUAGGAAAUCACUUGGUUACCCCAUUUGAGCCAAAAAUUUAAAAAAAUAUUCUUGCUUCUUGCAUAUGAUCCCAAGCUUAAAAGAAAAACAAUGUCUCUUCCUUACUUUCUAAGUUGAGAGAGCAUGCAUGAUUAGAUUGUAUAUAAGUGUGCAAGUUGAGGGGAGUGGAGGCUAUUAACAUCUUGGUUUGAAAUUAUCAAUUUCUCAAUCUUGUGUGUA